AAAAAUCGUUAAAACUUUCAACAACGGAUCUCUUGGUUCCGGCAUCGAUGAAGAACGCAGCGAAAUGCGAUACGUAAUGUGAAUUGCAGAAUUCAGUGAAUCAUCGAGUCUUUGAACGCACAUUGCGCCCCCUGGUAUUCCGGGGGGCAUGCCUGUCCGAGCGUCAUU
This 168-nucleotide ribosomal RNA is filed under the name Aspergillus penicillioides. RNAcentral's name for it is "5.8S ribosomal RNA". It matches the Rfam family "5.8S ribosomal RNA". From Rfam's summary of the family: 5.8S ribosomal RNA (5.8S rRNA) is a component of the large subunit of the eukaryotic ribosome. Lineage: Eukaryota; Fungi; Ascomycota; Eurotiomycetes; Eurotiales; Aspergillaceae. The record is from RNAcentral.